GUACACACCGCCCGUCACACCAUGGGAGUGGGUUGCACCAGAAGCCGUAGUCAAACCUUCGGGAGGGCGCCGACCACGGUGUGAUUCAUGACUGGGGUGAAGUCGUAACAAGGUAGCCGUAGGUGAACCUGCAGAAGGAUCA
RNAcentral lists this ribosomal RNA (142 nucleotides) under uncultured eukaryote. Its description in RNAcentral is "partial small subunit ribosomal RNA". It matches the Rfam family "Bacterial small subunit ribosomal RNA", at positions 1383 to 1525 of the family's 1533-position model. The record is from RNAcentral.